RNAcentral lists this ribosomal RNA (450 nucleotides) under uncultured bacterium. Its description in RNAcentral is "bacterial SSU rRNA". It matches the Rfam family "Bacterial small subunit ribosomal RNA", at positions 96 to 562 of the family's 1533-position model. The record is from RNAcentral.
UGGCGGACGGGUGAGUAACGCGUGGAUAACCUGCCUUAUACAGGGGGAUAACAGGGAGAAAUUCUUGCUAAUACCCCAUAGGUAUGUCUGACGCAUGUUGGACAUAUUAAAGCUUUGGCGGUAUAAGAUGGGUCCGCGUCUGAUUAGCUAGUUGGUGGGGUAAAGGCCCACCAAGGCGACGAUCAGUAGCCGGCUUGAGAGAGUGGACGGCCACAUUGGGACUGAGACACGGCCCAAACUCCUACGGGAGGCAGCAGUGGGGAAUAUUGCACAAUGGGGGAAACCCUGAUGCAGCGACGCCGCGUGAAGGAAGAAGGUCUUCGGAUCGUAAACUUCUAUCAGCAGGGAAGAAGGAAGUGACAGUACCUGAGUAAGAAGCCCCGGCUAACUACGUGCCAGCAGCCGCGGUAAUACGUAGGGGGCGAGCGUUAUCCGGAAUUACUGGGUGUA